CGCGUAGGCGGUUCGUACAGUUGGAUGUGAAAUUCCCGGGCUCAACCUGGGGGCUGCAUUCAAUACGUACGGGCUUGAGUUCGGAAGAGGGUCGUGGAAUUCCCAGUGUAGAGGUGAAAUUCGUAGAUAUUGGGAAGAACACCGGUGGCGAAGGCGGCGACCUGGUCCGAUACUGACGCUGAGGCGCGAAAGCGUGGGGAGCAAACAGGAUUAGAUACCCUGGUAGUCCACGCUGUAAACGAUGUGUGCUGGAUGUUGGGGGGCCGUAGCCCUUCAGUGUCGUAGCUAACGCGAUAAGCACACCGCCUGGGGAGUACGGCCGCAAGGUUGAA
Molecule: ribosomal RNA, 332 nt
Filed under: uncultured bacterium
Lineage: Bacteria
Description: bacterial SSU rRNA
Rfam family: Bacterial small subunit ribosomal RNA
Source: RNAcentral